RNAcentral lists this ribosomal RNA (497 nucleotides) under uncultured bacterium. RNAcentral's name for it is "partial 16S ribosomal RNA". It matches the Rfam family "Bacterial small subunit ribosomal RNA", at positions 28 to 507 of the family's 1533-position model. The record is from RNAcentral.
GAUGAACGCUGGCGGCGUGCCUAAUACAUGCAAGUCGAGCGAACAGACGAGGAGCUUGCUCCUCUGACGUUAGCGGCGGACGGGUGAGUAACACGUGGAUAACCUACCUAUAAGACUGGGAUAACUUCGGGAAACCGGAGCUAAUACCGGAUAAUAUAUUGAACCGCAUGGUUCAAUAGUGAAAGACGGUUUUGCUGUCACUUAUAGAUGGAUCCGCGCCGCAUUAGCUAGUUGGUAAGGUAACGGCUUACCAAGGCAACGAUGCGUAUCCGACCUGAGAGGGUGAUCGGCCACACUGGAACUGAGACACGGUCCAGACUCCUACGGGAGGCAGCAGUAGGGAAUCUUCCGCAAUGGACGAAAGCCUGACGGAGCAACGCCGCGUGAGUGAUGAAGGUCUUCGGAUCGUAAAACUCUGUUAUUAGGGAAGAACAAAUGUGUAAGUAACUAUGCACGUCUUGACGGUACCUAAUCAGAAAGCCACGGCUAACUACGUG